Molecule: microRNA precursor, 58 nt
Filed under: Ancylostoma ceylanicum
Lineage: Eukaryota; Metazoa; Nematoda; Chromadorea; Rhabditida; Ancylostomatidae
Description: mir-255 microRNA precursor family
Rfam family: mir-255 microRNA precursor family
Source: Rfam by way of RNAcentral
GUAGGAAAUCUUGUUCAAUUUUCCGCAAAACGCGCAAAACUGAAAAGAUUUUUUACAG